Molecule: ribosomal RNA, 470 nt
Filed under: Crocidura obscurior
Lineage: Eukaryota; Metazoa; Chordata; Mammalia; Eulipotyphla; Soricidae
Description: partial 16S ribosomal RNA
Rfam family: Bacterial large subunit ribosomal RNA
Source: RNAcentral
CGGCCGCGGUAUCCUNACCGUGCAAASSUAGCAUAAUCAUUUGUUCCYUAAUUAGGGACUCGUAUGAAUGGCCCCACGAGGGUUUAACUGUCUCUUACUUUCAAUCAGUGAAAUUGACCUUCCCGUGAAGAGGCGGGAAUAAGAAAAUAAGACGAGAAGACCCUAUGGAGCUUAAAUUAGAUAGUCCAACAAAAUCCAAACUUAAUCCAACAGGAAUAAUAAUAUUUUAACUGGACAACAAAUUUUGGUUGGGGUGACCUCGGAGUAUAAUAAAACCCCCGAGCUAUUUUUCCAAGACUUACCCGUCAAGGUAGUUUAAUUUAUUGAUCCAAUCAUAUUGAUCAACGAAACAAGUUACCCUAGGGAUAACAGCGCAAUCCUAUUUAAGAGUCCAUAUCGACAAUAGGGUUUACGACCUCGAUGUUGGAUCAGGACCCCCAAAUGGUGCAGCAGCUAUUAAAGGUUCGUUU